AUUUUGUUCCAGCUGAGGAAACUGGAACCCAGAAAGUAGAUGCCACCUGCCCAGGACCACACACUGAUUCCUGUGGUCAUCCUGGACUUAAUCCUUGGGUCUCCUUUCCUCUCUGCUGAGGGGCACAGGGAUUAUGCUGCCCAUUUUCCGAGUAAGGAAGCUGAGGCCCAGCAAAGAAAGUGACUAAACCCACUGCCAGUUGGCUCAGGAGCAGAAUCUGGAACCCCGGACUCCAGACUCCUAGUGAGGAGGAGGUGGGGUGGCAGGAUCACCUGUAGGACCACAGAGAUGGUCUUCUCGCCUGCCUUGGCUGCCCGCCAUUUUCGGUCCCUCACCGAGUCCUGGCUGCUGCAGGACACGACAUGGCGGAGGCGGAUCUCCGGCAUGUCAACGUCGUGGGCUUCGCCUGGCCAGAAGGAUGAGGUAGAGUAUGGGGUCCGAGGGGCAGGGAGAGUGGGAGGGGGCGGGGUGCGCCCUGCGCUGGCUAAAGUGCGCAAGCGCGCGAGGCUCGGGCCUUUCAAACCCCGGCGCGCCGGCGCCGGCGUC
Homo sapiens (human) is the source of this 546-nucleotide long non-coding RNA. The record is from Ensembl. NCBI's taxonomy places the organism in Eukaryota, Metazoa, Chordata, Mammalia, Primates, Hominidae.